RNAcentral lists this unclassified non-coding RNA (295 nucleotides) under Hevea brasiliensis (rubber tree). The record is from RNAcentral. Lineage: Eukaryota; Viridiplantae; Streptophyta; Magnoliopsida; Malpighiales; Euphorbiaceae.
AUGAGGAGCACGCGUUAGGCAUUGGACCUUGAAUGACUCGUGCGAGUUAUCCGCGUGUAAAUCAGUGAGCUACCACUCUUCUUCACAUCGUCCACUGGUUCGUUCCCUUCCAUACCCAAACAAAUACUAUAACCAACCCCGUUCGUCUCUGUAACCAAACAACCGCCCAACCAUAUUAACGAAGAUUCAAACCUCCUUUACUGCCAUCUCCACCACCACGGCCCCUAGCGGACCCGCCGACGCCGACUGUCUCAUAGUCUCCGAAGCUUCUAGAGAGUGUGUGUGUGUGAGAGAG